RNAcentral lists this ribosomal RNA (792 nucleotides) under uncultured bacterium. Its description in RNAcentral is "bacterial SSU rRNA". It matches the Rfam family "Bacterial small subunit ribosomal RNA", at positions 594 to 1397 of the family's 1533-position model. The record is from RNAcentral.
CGUGAAGCUCCUGGCUCAACUGGGAGAGGCCGUUCUAAACUACAGAACUAGAGGAUGGUAGAGGGAGGUGGAAUUCCAGGUGUAGCGGUGGAAUGCGCAGAUAUCUGGAGGAACACCGGUGGCGAAGGCAGCCUCCUGGACCAUUCCUGACACUCAGACGCGAAAGCUAGGGUAGCAAACGGGAUUAGAGACCCCGGUAGUCCUAGCCCUAAACGAUGUAGACUAGGCGUCGGAAGCUUAAUCGCUUUCGGUGUCCAAGCUAACGCGAUAAGUCUACCGCCUGGGGACUACGGCCGCAAGGUUAAAACUCAAAGGAAUUGACGGGUCCCCGCACAAGCAGCGGAGCGUGUGGUUUAAUUCGUUGCUACACGAAGAACCUUACCUGGGUUUGACAUAGCAGUGGUAGGGAAGCGAAAGCGGACCGACCCUUCGGGGAGCUGUUACAGGUGUUGCAUGGCUGUCGUCAGCUCGUGUCGUGAGAUGUUCGGUUAAGUCCGCUAACGAGCGCAACCCGCGUUGUGUGUUACAAGUGUCACACAAUACCGCCGGUAUUAAGUCGGAGGAAGGUGCGGAUGACGUCAAGUCAGCAUGACCUUUAUAUCCAGGGCUACACACACGCUACAAUGGUCAGCACAAUAGGUUGCCAAGUCGUGAGACGGAGCCAAUCCUCCAAAGCUGGCCUCAGUUCAGAUUGCAGGCUGCAACUCGCCUGCAUGAAGUUGGAGUUGCUAGUAACCGCAGGUCAGCUAUACUGCGGUGAAUACGUUCCCGGGGAUUGUACACACCGCCCGU